GACGAACGCUGGCGGCGUGCCUAAUACAUGCAAGUCGAACGCAGUGGGGACGGGUGAGUAACACGUGGGUAACCUCCCAUCAGAGGGGAUAACACUUGGAAACAGGUGCUAAACCGAUACUGAUGGAUGGACCCGCGGUGCAUUAGCUAGUUGGUGAGGAAACGGCUCACCAAGGCCACGAUGCAUAGCCGACCGUAGAGGGGGAUCGGCAACACGGGGACUGGAAAACGGCCCAGACUCCUACGGUAGGCAGCAGUGGGGAAUCUUCGGAAAUGGAGGAAAGUUGGACCGGGCAACGCCGGGUAGGUGAAGAAGGUUUUCGAAUCGUAAAACUCGGUGUUUAGAGAAGCGGUAUCUAACCGGAAAGCCACGGCUAACUACGUGCCAGAGCCGCGGUAAUUC
RNAcentral lists this ribosomal RNA (402 nucleotides) under uncultured bacterium. RNAcentral describes it as "partial 16S ribosomal RNA". It matches the Rfam family "Bacterial small subunit ribosomal RNA", at positions 28 to 526 of the family's 1533-position model. The record is from RNAcentral.